GACGAACGCUGGCGGCGUGCUUAACACAUGCAAGUCGAGCGGUAAGGCCCUUUCGGGGGUACACGAGCGGCGAACGGGUGAGUAACACGUGGGUGACCUGCCCUCAGCUCUGGGAUAAGCCUGGGAAACCGGGUCUAAUACUGGAUAUGACUCCAUGACGCAUGUUGGUGGGGUGGAAAGCCUUGUGCGGCUGAGGAUGGGCCCGCGGCCUAUCAGCUUGUUGGGUGGGGUGAGGCCUACCAAGGCGACGACGGGUAGCCGGCCUGAGAGGGCGACCGGCCACACUGGGACUGAGACACGGCCCAGACUCCUACGGGAGGCAGCAGUGGGGAAUCUUGCGCAAUGGGCGAAAGCCUGACGCAGCGACGCCGCGUGAGGGA
This 380-nucleotide ribosomal RNA is filed under the name uncultured bacterium. RNAcentral describes it as "bacterial SSU rRNA". It matches the Rfam family "Bacterial small subunit ribosomal RNA", at positions 28 to 408 of the family's 1533-position model. The record is from RNAcentral.